UGAGUAACACGUGGGCAAUCUGCCCUGCACUUCGGGAUAAGCCUGGGAAACUGGGUCUAAUACCGGAUAGGACCUUUAGNCGCAUGCCUUUUGGUGGAAAGCUUUUGCGGUGUGGGAUGGGCCCGCGGCCUAUCAGCUUGUUGGUGGGGUGAUGGCCUACCAAGGCGACGACGGGUAGCCGGCCUGAGAGGGUGUCCGGCCACACUGGGACUGAGAUACGGCCCAGACUCCUACGGGAGGCAGCAGUGGGGAAUAUUGCACAAUGGGCGCAAGCCUGAUGCAGCGACGCCGCGUGGGGGAUGACGGCCUUCGGGUUGUAAACCUCUUUCACCAUCGACGAAGGUCCGGGUUUUCUCGGAUUGACGGUAGGUGGAGAAGAAGCACCGGCCAACUACGUGCCAGCAGCCGCGGUAAUACGUAGGGUGCGAGCGUUGUCCGGAAUUACUGGGCGUAAAGAGCUCGUAGGUGGUUUGUCGCGUUGUUCGUGAAAUCUCACGGCUUAACUGUGAGCGUGCGGGCGAUACGGGCAGACUAGAGUACUGCAGGGGAGACUGGAAUUCCUGGUGUAGCGGUGGAAUGCGCAGAUAUCAGGAGGAACACCGGUGGCGAAGGCGGGUCUCUGGGCAGUAACUGACGCUGAGGAGCGAAAGCGUGGGGAGCGAACAGGAUUAGAUACCCUGGUAGUCCACGCCGUAAACGGUGGGUACUAGGUGUGGGUUUCCUUCCUUGGGAUCCGUGCCGUAGCUAACGCAUUAAGUACCCCGCCUGGGGAGUACGGCCGCAAGGCUAAAACUCAAAAGGAAUUGACGGGGGGCCCGCACAA
This 823-nucleotide ribosomal RNA is filed under the name Mycobacterium sp. RNAcentral's name for it is "bacterial SSU rRNA". It matches the Rfam family "Bacterial small subunit ribosomal RNA", at positions 107 to 928 of the family's 1533-position model. The record is from RNAcentral. Lineage: Bacteria; Bacillati; Actinomycetota; Actinomycetes; Mycobacteriales; Mycobacteriaceae.